This 261-nucleotide ribosomal RNA is filed under the name Salmonella enterica subsp. enterica serovar Montevideo. RNAcentral's name for it is "partial 16S ribosomal RNA". It matches the Rfam family "Bacterial small subunit ribosomal RNA", at positions 997 to 1258 of the family's 1533-position model. Lineage: Bacteria; Pseudomonadati; Pseudomonadota; Gammaproteobacteria; Enterobacterales; Enterobacteriaceae. The record is from RNAcentral.
AAUUCAGAGAUGGAUUUGUGCCUUCGGGAACCGUGAGACAGGUGCUGCAUGGCUGUCGUCAGCUCGUGUUGUGAAAUGUUGGGUUAAGUCCCGCAACGAGCGCAACCCUUAUCCUUUGUUGCCAGCGGUCCGGCCGGGAACUCAAAGGAGACUGCCAGUGAUAAACUGGAGGAAGGUGGGGAUGACGUCAAGUCAUCAUGGCCCUUACGACCAGGGCUACACACGUGCUACAAUGGCGCAUACAAAGAGAAGCGACCUCGC